Phascolarctos cinereus (koala) is the source of this 281-nucleotide non-coding RNA. The record is from RefSeq and is a predicted model, not a curated record. Lineage: Eukaryota; Metazoa; Chordata; Mammalia; Diprotodontia; Phascolarctidae.
GAGUGAGCUGUCCGGGAGGGGGAGGCCCCCUAUCUCCAUGCGCCUGUCGCCCGACCAGGCUGGAGGCUGGCAGCCGUGGUGCCGAGCCCAGCGCAAGGCAGACGCGCGGCCCGGACAGCUGACAGAGGACGGAUGGACAGAGAGGGCCGAGGGAGAGGCGAACUGAGUUUGAUCCUUCACCGGCUACAACAAGUCCAGAGACCAGAGACAAAAUCCUGCGGAGUGCCUGCCUUUGCUGAUUGAUACAAUAACCCAGCUCGGCUUCUCCACCGCCCGCCCCC